RNAcentral lists this long non-coding RNA (10618 nucleotides) under Marmota monax (woodchuck). Lineage: Eukaryota; Metazoa; Chordata; Mammalia; Rodentia; Sciuridae. The record is from RNAcentral.
GGCAAGGUCCAGCAAGCUGGCUACAUGAUAGCCAAAGUAAACGUAGAACUGCAACAGGCUAAAAGUGAACACGUAGGAACAGGCAGUCAGUCCACGCACCACCAGGACAGCUGGCCACCUGCACUAGAAUGACAGAGUGAACCUUGGAGUCAGAAAACGCACCAGCGCUGAGCGGGAGAGUUCUCAAGGUAAAGAGAGGCACUCACUGAAGGACAGACAACUCCACACUUUUCUGCCUUCCAUAUUCAUUCAUUUUUCCGUCUCCCUUGAUCAUUACAAGAGCUGUAACCUAGUCAGUUUGUCCUGAUUUGAAUGGAAUCACAGGGUGGUACCCACAGGCAGGAGGGCCUGGCUGUGGGAAGGUUGCUCACCAGGUGUGCCACUGGUCACACACCUUGUCCCUCUGGCUUGUCUCUCUGUCUCUGUCUCCUGGCUGAGGCAGCUUCCCUCUGUGGAGCCCCCCAGCCAUGAUGCUCUGCCUCACCCAGGGCCCAGAGUGAUGGAACCUACUCAUCAUGAACUGAAAUUCCUCUGCAUUGUUUUGUUUGGUAUUUUGGUGACAGCAAUGAAAAGUUGACCAACAUGGGAUGUUUGUAGAAAAUCUUUGAAUUAAAAACAAUUCUAGUAGUCAUCAAUAAUGUAAAAAUAUAUAACUCAAUUAUAAGAUAAUAAAUUCAAUUAAAAAUUACGAUUAAAAAAUCUUAAUAUUUCUCAAAAGCAGAAACAGUGAGUAAACUUAUGAAAAGAUGUUCUCCAUCAUUGGUCAUCCAGAAAUUAAUUUAAUAUCACAAUGAGAUACCCCUCCACAUGCAGAAAAUACUUAUAAAAACAUUUGCCCAAGAGAAAUGAAAAUAUGUUCAAUAAAGAAUGAUGCAUAAAUAUGCAUACCUUGAAUAAUAGCCCCAAAGCUAGAAGACAGCUAAAUGUGUUAAAUGGAGAGGGUGUUGACAAACGAAUAAACAAUUUGUGCUCAUAAAAAAAUUACUCACACACAGGCUCACACCUGUAAUCCCAGGGACCCUGGAGGCUGAAGCAGGAGGAUUGCAAGUUCAAUGCCAGCCUCAGCAAACUUGGUGAGGCCCUACGAAACUUAGCAAGACCCUGUCUCAUAAUUUAAAAUAAAAAGCACUGGAGAUGUGGCUCAGUGGUUAAGUGACCCUGGCUUCAAUCCAUAGUACCAAAAAAAAAAAAAAAAUUACUCUGCAAGAAAAUGCUUCAUGAGGGAUUCCACCUCUUGGGUCCCCUUCUUCCUCAGGGAGAAGUCUUUUCUGCUGUCCUUUAAUAAACUUCUAAUUUCUACUCUGAAAAAAAAAAAAAAAAGAAAAUGCUUCAUGAGGGAACCCAGCACCAGAGUACACAUUCUAUGAUUCCAUCUGUGUGAAAGUCUACAUAAGAAUGCAAUCCCUAGUAACUGGAAGGAGGCACAAAGGGAGUGAUUGGGGUGAUGGAAGUGUCUUCUCUCUUAAAUUGGUAAUGGUUUCACAAAUUAGCAAAUCACAUUGAAAUAUUCACGUAAGCAACGAAUUUUGUGUUUGUUGCUUACAAUUCAAUAUAGUUGAUUGAAAACAGUUUUUAAAGCCUGGAUAUGCUGCCCAACCAUAAAUCCAAGAUCCUUUCUGAUUCUCCAGAACAGGGUGACCUUCAAUUGUUCAUAACAAGAACAAAUGAGUUGCUUUAACUUACUUCCAUCUGGGUAAAGAGUUUGCCCUUUAGUGUGAUUUCCACUGAUUAGAAACGGCUAAGGAUCUGUUUAUCAUGCUCCUCUUGUUAUGGUCUUUUUGUUUCCUUUGAGGUACAGUAAACACUUGUAUUUUAACCAGGUAUUUGAACAUUUUCCACUUCUUUUUUUUUUUUAAAGAGAAAAUGUUAUAGAAAAGGUAAAACAUCUGCAUGUAGGAAUAUGCAUUGAAAAAUUAUAAUUAAAGAUCUGGCUCUGAAGUUAUCAUGCAUUAUCAGUGGUCAGACCAGGUAUCGAUGCACAUUUUUCUUCAUUACAGCUGCCUGUUCAAGUCUUUUUGUCUGCCUCUGUGAUAGCACAGGUCUGGGGUGAUUUUUCUGAAAGCUUUCCUGUUUGUGCUGCCUGUAUAUGGGUUUGUGAUCUCUUUAUCUCCACCAUUUGACCCAGCUAUCCCACUCCUUGGUCUAUAUCCAAAGGGCUUAAAAUGAGCAUACUAUCAUGACAUAGCCAUACCAACGUUUAUAGCAGUUACCCUUUUCUCUUGAUGACCUUGGUUUCAGCAGAGCUCCUCGGGGCAGCCUGACUUCCGGAAUUCUAUAACUUACUUAAUUUUGAUCGCAGACUGCCCUGGCACUUUGCCACAAUCUGGCAUUGUAAGAGGUAAUUUGAGGGAUGGACCAUGCCAUAUCCGACUUCCACAGAAAGUCCCCAAAUGAUAUUCCCUCUGCCUAAGUAUAUGCAUCAUUUUUUUCUCUUUCAAUAAUUAAGGGAAAUAAAUCUGACUUUUAAAAAUUAGAGCUCUGAUUCCCAGUUUUGAUCAAUUCUAGAAGAGAAUUUUCUAUUUUUAAAUAUUUUUUUCUAUUUCUGCAGGAUGCCACUUCUGUCUUUCAUUUUGUUCUAUUUCUCAACCAUGUAAAACCUAAAUGUGAGUAAACAUGUCCUGGCUUAAUUAUCACCGGUCGUUCUCUACUUAUAUUCCAUUCCUCAGAAAAUGUAUAGGAGCUAAAAUUUACAGCCAUGCUUAGAAAAUUACUAAAUAUUCUUAUUAUGGAUCCACUCUUGGGAACUCUUAUAAACUGUUUAAAACACAUUUUCUUUGGAAAUAGUCCAAUUGAAGCUCUGUGCGGACAUAUUUAUUGCACAUCAGCACUCACAAUUUGUGUAGAUGAGUGAGGUUGGACUAGUUUUGUGAUAAGGAAGUUGAAGGAUACAAUCAAAGAAUAAAGAAGAAAGACUCUGGCAAUAAGAAACACAGUGAAGAGAAAUCAGGUUGCUCAGAGGGGACAUAGGACAUGACUUGCCACUUAGUCCAACUAGCCAAGGGAUGUACUAGUCUCACCUGUGUUCUGCUGUGGCAGAUUCCACAGUGGUCCCACAUCCUUCCUACUCAAGCUGCUUUACGUGAGGUUUCGAGCUUUCUCCCUCCAAGAGGCAGAGUUUACCUCUUCACUCCUUGUGACUCCUGCUUUGAUUAAUAUCAGGAAAUAAGAUAAAAGCAGAGAACUAAAACACAUCUGUGCGAGGUGCAUGCCCUUCUCUUGAUCAUGGAUCUUUGUAACCAGGUGAAAAAGCUCCAGCUAGCCUGUUGGAUGAUGAGAGAAAUGUACCCGGCUGUCCCUGUUACUCUGGCCAACAUCUUGUGUCAUGUUAACACACACAUGAGGCUGUCACACGUCAUCCAGCCAUCACAUCAUCUUGACCUAACAGCUCAUCAUGAGACCUAAUUAAACCAGCAGAGCUCCAUCGAGCUGCCCCAGACCAGAAGAACCACCCAACCAAAGUCUGAAUUGCAAUCUAAAUAAAUGAUGGAUGAUGCUGAAUCAGCAGCAGAAGCUGACCGAUACAAAACGAAAAAGUCAAUGAUCCCAACUGACCAUACAGGUCAAGUUAAGCAUUUCACUGAGAAACACUCAUAUAAUCUAAGUCCUAUAACCUCUUCUCAAUUUAACAAAUACUUAUUGUUACCUAGAAAAUGUACAGUUAAAUCAUAAGACAGACAAGUUAUAGCAUUCUAUUUGCAUUAAUAUAAUAUGAAGUAUAUCCAUUCUUUUACUUUUUAUUCAUUUUUAUUUAUUCUUUUUUAAUUAUAAAUGACAGUGGAAUCUAUUUUGAUAUAUUUAUACAAACAUGGUAUAUAUCUUAUUCUAAUUAGGACCACAGUCUUCUGGAUGUACACAAUGUUGAGAUUAACUGCUGUUUAUUCAUACACGUACAUAGGAAAGUUAUUUCAGAUUCAUUCCACUGUCUUUUCUAUUCCUAGCUCCCUUCUUCCCUUCAUUUUUCUUUGUCCAGUCAUCCGAACUUCUAUUCUUCCUUUCCCCCAAUCCCUUGUUGUGGGGUGGCAUGCACAUAUCAGAGAGAACAUUUGACUUUUGGUUUUCUGAGAUUGGCUUAUUUCACUUAGCAUGAUAGUCUUCAGAUCCAUUUACCAGUGAAUGUCAUAAAGUCAUUUUUCUUUAUGGCUGAGUAAUAUUCCAUUGUGAAUAUAUACCACAUGUUCUUUAUCCAUUCAUUUGUUGAAGGGCAUCUAUGUUGGUUCCAUAGCUUAGGUAUCGUGAAUUCUGCUGCUAUAAACAUUGUUGUGGAUAUGUGUCACUGUAGUAUGCUGUUUUUAACUCCUUUGGAUACUGUGUCAAAGAGUAGUAUAACUGGGUCAAAUGGGGUUUCCAUUCCUAGUUUUUUUGAGAAAUCUCCGUACUGCUUUUCAGACUGGGUACACUAAUUUGCAGUCCCACCAACAACGUAUGAGUACAUUUCCUGAAUUGUUUUCAAAUAUAUUCUAAAAUGACUUCAAAAUAACAAUCUAUAUUAAAGAUCUGCUUGAAACACUAGUGAAAAUGUUCACCUGUCCCAUGGCUUUGGAAGAGAGGAGGUAAAUGGGUGAUGUUGCUGGUCUCCCAACAGAGACAUGUGUGUUUUGCCUAGAGAUGGUAUUCAAUAUGGAUACAGCUGCCUCCAUUAUCAGGCACACUUAUCUUUCAUGAAAGUGGAGAAGCUGUUUAGAAUGUGAGUGGUCAAGUUCAAGCAGUACAGCCUCACCAUCAUCCUUUGUGCCUCUUCUUGGCAUCACCAGAGGGAAGCUGGAAAUGCCAAUUGUCAGAACCUCUUCUCUCUCUCCAUUUCAGCCAGGGCAAGCCACUAGAAAGAUAUUUGGAAACAGCAAGAAAGAAAAGCUCUCUGCCCACUUCAGCUGCAGGAAGGCCUUGACACCCAUGUUGGAUUCCUUGGACACCCAUGUUGGAUUCCUUGACACCCUGAAGUCCUCCCUGGGGAGAAACAACAGAGACCACAUCUACCCUUCCCAUGCAGAAUGGCCUCACUUGGCUUCCAGGGAACCAUCCACGUGGGUCCUGGGCUCAGCUGGAAUCCUGGACCACAGCUCCCUCUAAGCCUGGUAAUUCUGAAUUUCUUAAAAAGCACACUCUGACCUUCACCCCCGAAAUCUUCCUAAUGAUUGUAUGAGUUUAUAAUUUUAUAUGUCAAAUUUAUGUCCAAUAAAAUUACCUAGUAUGUUUUUCUUCAUGAAAUGUUUCAACUCAUGUUUUUUGUUACUGUAACUGUUUCAGGGAAAUGGAAUCUUUAGAAGAAUAUAGGAAUCAAUCUUCCUACCUGCUUAGAACCAAAGAACAACCACACAGAAAUGGAUGGCAACCUACUUAUAAUGUCACGGCCUAUGUUACCUCCACGUUUCCCUACAAGGCAGAGCGUACUGAAGGCAAGUGACAGAGAGAUUAAGUUGCUCAUGAUAGACUGCUAUAAAGUGACCACUAAGUGGGCCGCUUCUAGCUGCUCUCAAGAGCUCAGAAAACAGGUAGUGCCAUAGCUGCUUGAAAAUGUGUGUGAGCUACUGAUUCUCACCUAGACUGGUUUCAGGGCUCACACAGAUAAGAAAUAUGACAAUUUCAGGAGCAAGAAAAUUCAGAGGUGAUUAUGCAAGUGAGAAAAAAAUGCAUUUUUUUCUUUUUUUUUUUUAUGUGUGUGUGUGUGUGUGUACAGGGAUUGAACUCAGAAGGCCUUUACCACUGAACCACAUUCCCAGACUUUUUAAAAUUUCUUUAUUUUGAGACAGGGUCUCACUAAGUUGUUCCCUAAUUAGCUGAGGCUUGCCUUAAACAUGAGAUCCUCCUGCCCCAGCCUCCUGAGUUGCUAGGAUUACAGCCAUAUGCCACCAUAUCCCAGUACAGCUUUUGAAAAUAUAAGAUUAACCAACCUCUAACUCCAACGAGGCAGCAGCAGAUCUAGAUUUAUAUUUUGCCUUUGAUACUAACAGUGGGUAUACGAACUUGAGGUUAUUACUUAAUAUUCCUGUGACUACUUUUAAAAAGUACAGAGACAAAGGUAGGCGGGUCCUUCUUUGAACUCAGAAAGAGAACUUCAAAGGGGUCGAAGAAGCAUCCCCAGCCAUGAGUUCCAACCGGAAUGGCACUACCAAGUGUUCCCCAGAGGGCAGAUUGCACUUCUCACACUCGUGACCACCCUUCCCUUCUGGCUUGCCACUCCUGACAGAUUAAUCCUCUAGGAGCGUAAAGCCUCUAAAUCAUUUCUCUCUUCAAAACACACAAUGGUUUUCUGCUGAGCACAAAAUAGGCCGUAACUCUGCAUCCUGGUGUUUAAGGUUUAAAAGAUGGAAAUUACUGGAUUGAGGCAUUAUUAUCCAAACUAGCUUUGGAAUAUAGCCACAUAUUAAUUGGUUCUCUCAAUAAUCUAUUUAAUCACUCAAAAUACAUUCAUUGAAUGUCUCCAAUGUGUCAGUUACUGUGUGAAAUACUAGGGAACAAAGUCAAUGAAGCACAGUCUCUGCCUUCAAAGACUGGCCUCCAGGUGAGCAUGGAGGGCAGAAAUACAGGGGGAAGCCAUCCCACAGGGUGACCGUUGUUAUGACGUAGGUGUGCACAGGAAGUGACAGGAGACAAAUGGAGAAUCUCUAGCAAACCACAGCAGCAUGUGAGAGGGAGCCUGGCCAGGGCCAGAGGUUUGAGGUACAGAAAGGGGGCACCAGUAACCCCAGCUACUCAGGAGGCUGAGACAAAGACGGCAAGUUUGAGGCCAACCUGCCCAACUUAGCAAGACCCUGUCUCAAAAGAAAACAAAACUAAAAGGGCAGUGGUAGAUUGCUUGCUGAGCAUGUAUGAGACGCUGAGUUCAAUUUCCAGUACAGAAAAAAAAAAGAAAGAAAUAAAAAGAAAACAGCAAGGAGCAGGGUGUCAGGUGGGAAGCUGGAUAUUUCUGAGCAGCUAGGUUAUGACAUUUGUAAAACACAGAGGCCGGAGGAUUCUGGAAUGUUUGAGAACGACUUCAUCGUGGCUAGAAUUCAGGACACUAAAAGGGACCUGAUAAGAGGAGAAACCCAGGAACACUCUCAGAUAUACAACAUAAAGGCUGCAGCGUGUACGUUGGGUGUCUGAACUCGGUGGUGAAGGUAACAACCAACCAUGCCAUGGCCCCAGCACACAAGCGCUCGUCGGGCUCCUGACACCAAAAUAUUCCAUAGCAAUAUGGAAAUUAAUUUCAGGAGAGGGAUGCUGAAGAAAGAUGGAGAAAUUGAGAUGCUUUCAACUCUAGGAAAAAAACUAAGUCUUGACAAUUCCACUAAGGAUGGAAGAAAGAGGGCUACCUUUCCCUUAGCCCUGGCUCUCGGCAGCCACUGGACCCCUGCACUGCUGAUGGCUUGGGUGCCAAGUAGCUGCUCAGUCCACUCCACUCCAGAGGACACAAGUGCAUCUUUUGUGACUCCCCACUCCUUUCACUACCAAAGUCCCUAAGCCUUAACAUAUAUCAUCUGCACCGCAUUCCUGCCAAGCUUUAACAGGUAAUAAAGGAGGACCGGUGCGAUUUAUAGGACUAACAUAGACUGCUUAGGCACUCCCAUUGCAAGCCUCAAAUCAUCUGACCCCUCCUCCUGCCUACUGAAUUGUGUUAUGAGCAAGCUGUGGUACAGUAUCUCAGAACACUAAUCCCUAUCCCCACAUCAGUCGUGAAAAUAUUAAAUUGAGAAAAAGGUUGGUUUGGGGGUGAGUAGAAGAAAUCACUCAGUUAGAAAGACAGCAGCAAUUGAAGGAACCCAAAACUUUGAGUUAUUUAAUUCCUUAGAGGAAUAAGAAGACCAUCUGUAACUUUUAAAAAUAAAAAGCAUUUUGAACCCAUCACUCAAAUACCAUAGCAAGUAGUGCACUAAGUUUAGCAAAAGUAAUUAAUUAAGAAAUCUGUUAGAUGUUGGAAGCUUAUUUUGAAAUAAUAUCAUUCUUUUAUUAUUCUUAAAGGAUAUUGGGAAUCUGAAGUCCAUUUAGAAGUAGGAAUAUAUAUAUAUAUAUAUAUAUAUAUAUAUACUUAUGUGUGUAGACAUAUAUGUAUAUGUGCACACACACACACAUACACACACACACACACACACACAUACCCAUCAAUUCAGUACUUUACCAGAUAGGACUGGUAUUUGAAAAUGUGUAAUCUUGUAUUGCAGUUGCAUCUAAGGAACUAAGGAGAUACAACUAAGGAUUUCUGAAAUCUCAAGUAAAAAGCACAGGUAGACUGGGCUUAGUGACCCAAAGCUGUAAUCCCAGCUACUCAGGAGGUUGAGGCAGGAGGAUCAUGAGUUCAAAGCUAGCUUCAGCAACUUAGCAAGUCCCUAAGCAACUCGGAAGACCCUGUCUCUAAAUAUAUUUAUUACAAAGGGCUGAGGAUUUGGUUCAGUGGCUUAAUGCCCCUGGGUUUACUCCCUGGUACUAAAAAGAAUGAAACACGAAAGUGUACCAAUAAAGAAAAAUAAAAUAAAAAACACAAGUACCAGAGAGGUCAUGAACUUCAACUCUUUGUCACCUUUCCACAUGGAAUGUAUAAUUUUAUUCUGAACAACAAAACUUUCCCUCCAUAUUUUCUUGUCAUCAACAGUGAUCUAAGUGCACGUGCACUCUAAUCAACAUAAGUGGUGAGAACAUCAAAUAUGUGGGCUAGAGUCACCUGUGCCUGAGGGCAUGGCACUUGGGUAAGUCCAUGACAGGUGGCUGGACCAAGGAUAGAGCAUUUGUACACUUCCAGGGUAGGACUGGAGGGGUAUUCCUCUGAUAAAGACAGGCACAGGAAAAUGGUGCAGACGUCAGAUAGGCACCUUUUCCACAUCAGAGCUUUAAGCACGAGUCACUCUCCACACUCCCAACUAUGGAUCUAACUUAGAACUUUGCAUUUUGUUUGAUAAUAUGUCUCCUUUCACUUUUUUAUAUUUUCCUUUCUGAAAAGCAUAUCAGAAUCAGAUAGAGGUUGGCAAACUUCCCUGGACAGUUAGCAGGACUCUGCUCAGUCUCCCUUCUACCUGUCUCAGGUAUACGAUCAGAUCAUUUGCCUUAUAUAAUAGACAGAAUGGGCACUCGUAACUGUGAGUUGAAUAAAUGUAUCAAUUAACACAUUAAGUAAUUAAAUUUUUGGCAAAGUGAGAAAGUGUAAAAAUGUAAAUGAAAAUAAGAUAGAAAGAUAGUUAUUUCAUUCCAAGAAGACCCUUCAGCAGUUCAUGGGGUCAACUUGAAGACUUAUCCUACACAUAAGUUCUAAAAUGCAUUGACUGAUUUCCUCAAAGCUGAUCAUAGAGUCUGGAGUCUCAGAUUAUGGAUAUAGUAUGUAAUAUCCUUGUGAUUUCUGCCAUCUUUGGCUAGUCCUGUUGGGGAAGAGCCUCUUUUACAGAAUGGUUUUUCCAGUCUUUGUCCAAAAUUUCACUUAUAUGCUUCUUUGAGUCUAAAAGACUCACUAAAUGAUCAUCACAGACAUGGUCACUCACGGCAGAGUUCCCGAUGGCAGAAGUUCCUUCCACUCUCCAGAUGUUUUUGAGUGAGUUUAUAGUUCACCUUUCCCAUAAGACAUUCCCAUGAGAGGGAGGGCGUCCUAGACUUUGGGUCUUUGAGACACAAAGAUGGCCACUGUGGGACUAUCCAGCUUCUACUCAUGUAAGCCAAACUAAUAAAUCCCCUUUUUAUAAUUAUAUAUAAUACCCACAUAUACGAUGGUCUUGGUGAUUCUGUUCCUCUAUAGACCCUGAUAUACCAAUCAUUAUCAUUAACUCUAAAAAUUUUAAAAGCCACGUUAUCUUCACGGUGACUCCCUAGAAUGAUUGUAUCUGAUACUCAGCACCUUCCUGCACACAUGCCAUGGCUUCCUGGCCCCUCUAAGGGGAGAUGAAGCUCUCACAAGGCUCUAGAUGAAACACCUAAUGGCAGAGCCGGUCUGCUGGCUGCUGUCCAGUGCUCCUGCUCUUCAGCAUGUUUUUGCCAUCACCCAAGGAAGAAAAGCACCUCAUCUCCCGAAUGGUCCGUGGACAUCUGGGAGGCUGAAAGCACUGCAGAAAGCCUGGAAGAAGCACAGCAGAAGCCCCAGCAUGAGAUAGAAUAGGCCCAUGUCCACAGCAGGGAGGGCCACUGCAGAUCCUCUAACUGAUCAUUUGUGCACAUUUUCCUCAAGGGCAACUCAUUGCUCAAGUGGAGGCCUCCUGCCGGGGUCACAGGUGAUCCAAAAUGAACAUCUUUAAUGAGACUGACCCCCUGGUGGGAACACCAGACAGCAAUGGAGCCAAAGCAGGAAAAUACUGCAUGCAUGUGAACUCUCAAUUCUCAGAGCAUCCCAGUGUGGCAGUCCUGUCAGAGUCUCCUUCUCUAGAUGAGGAAACAAGAACAAAAAACUAAGCACGUGCUCAACAUCAUAUAUUGUGUAAUUGGCAGAGUCCCGCAGAAUUCUUCCACUCGCUUCUUUUAUUUCUGGAAAAAAAAAAAAACCCUCCAAAUAGAAUCACAGCUGCAAGAUGCUAUGUAUUGGGUUUGUGUGAUUCAGAAUUUGCCAUCACAAUUGUUCACUCUAGUUUUGUUUGUUUGGUUUUUAAUUUUAUGGGUUUUUCAAACAUAGCCUGAUGGUGUCUAGGAAAAGAAUUCCUAGAGUGUUUUUUUUUUUACUAUGUUCAAUAAG